This 24-nucleotide microRNA is filed under the name Amborella trichopoda. RNAcentral's name for it is "atr-miR8566". Lineage: Eukaryota; Viridiplantae; Streptophyta; Magnoliopsida; Amborellales; Amborellaceae. The record is from miRBase by way of RNAcentral.
AUUAGAGCUGGGUGGAUGAAGUGG